AGUGAACGCUGGCGGUAGACCUAACACAUGCAAGUCGAACGGCAGCACAGUAAGAGCUUGCUCUUACGGGUGGCGAGUGGCGGACGGGUGAGGAAUACAUCGGAAUCUACUUUUUCGUGGGGGAUAACGUAGGGAAACUUACGCUAAUACCGCAUACGACCUACGGGUGAAAGCAGGGGAUCUUCGGACCUUGCGCGAUUGAAUGAGCCGAUGUCGGAUUAGCUAGUUGGCGGGGUAAAGGCCCACCAAGGCGACGAUCCGUAGCUGGUCUGAGAGGAUGAUCAGCCACACUGGAACUGAGACACGGUCCAGACUCCUACGGGAGGCAGCAGUGGGGAAUAUUGGAAAAUGGGCGAAAGCCUGAUCCAGCCAUACCGCGGGGGUGAAGAAGGCCUUCGGGUUGUAAAGCCCUUUUGUUGGGAAAAAAAAGCAGCAGGUUAAUACCCCGCUGUUCUGGCGGUACCCAAAGAAGAAGCACCGGCUAACUUCGU
RNAcentral lists this ribosomal RNA (491 nucleotides) under uncultured bacterium. RNAcentral describes it as "partial 16S ribosomal RNA". It matches the Rfam family "Bacterial small subunit ribosomal RNA", at positions 29 to 506 of the family's 1533-position model. The record is from RNAcentral.